This 434-nucleotide ribosomal RNA is filed under the name uncultured bacterium. RNAcentral's name for it is "partial 16S ribosomal RNA". It matches the Rfam family "Bacterial small subunit ribosomal RNA", at positions 27 to 507 of the family's 1533-position model. The record is from RNAcentral.
GAACGAACGCUGGCGGCAUGCCUAACACAUGCAAGUCGAACGAGACCUUCGGGUCUAGUGGCGUACGGGUGCGUAACGCGUGGGAACCUGCCCUUAGGUUCGGAAUAACUCCCCGAAAGGGGUGCUAAUACCGGAUAAUGUCUUCGGACCAAAGAUUUAUCGCCUUUGGAUGGGCCCGCGUUGGAUUAGCUAGUUGGUAGGGUAAAAGCCUACCAAGGCGACGAUCCAUAGCUGGUCUGAGAGGAUGAUCAGCCACACUGGGACUGAGACACGGCCCAGACUCCUACGGGAGGCAGCAGUGGGGAAUAUUGGACAAUGGGCGAAAGCCUGAUCCAGCAAUGCCGCGUGAGUGAUGAAGGCCUUAGGGUUGUAAAGCUCUUUUACCCGGGAUGAUAAUGACAGUACCGGGAGAAUAAGCUCCGGCUAACUCCGUG